UGCCAGCAGCCGCGGUAAUACGGAGGGUGCAAGCGUUGUUCGGAUUGACUGGGCGUAAAGAGCACGUAGGCGGGUCUUUAAGUUGGAUGUGAAAUCCCUGAGCUUAACUUGGGAAUGGCAUCCAAAACUGGAGAUCUUGAAUACCUAAGGGGUUGGCAGAAUUCCAGGUGUAGGAGUGAAAUCCGUAGAUAUCUGGAGGAACACCGGCGGCGAAGGCGGCCAACUGGUGGUGUAUUGACGCUGAGGUGCGAAAGCGUGGGUAGCAAACAGGAUUAGAUA
RNAcentral lists this ribosomal RNA (279 nucleotides) under uncultured bacterium. RNAcentral describes it as "partial 16S ribosomal RNA". It matches the Rfam family "Bacterial small subunit ribosomal RNA", at positions 506 to 784 of the family's 1533-position model. The record is from RNAcentral.